Molecule: ribosomal RNA, 553 nt
Filed under: uncultured Archaeorhizomycetes
Lineage: Eukaryota; Fungi; Ascomycota; Archaeorhizomycetes
Description: eukaryotic LSU rRNA
Rfam family: Eukaryotic large subunit ribosomal RNA
Source: RNAcentral
AUCAAUAAGGCGAGGAACAGAAACCAACAGGGAUUCCCCCAGUAGUGGCGAAUGAAGCGGGAAAAGCUCAAGUUUGAAAUCUGGCGGGCGACCGUCCAGAGUUGUAAGCUGGAGAGGUGUCGUCGGAUGCGGUCCGGGCUCAAUUUCCUUGGAACAGGAGGUCAUGGAGGGUGAGAACCCCGUAUGUGGCUUGGGUGCCGUGGUCCUUGUGACGUAUCCUCUAAGAGUCGGGUUGUUUGGGAAUGCAGCUCAAAAUGGGUGGUAAAUUUCAUCUAAAGCUAAAUAUUGGUGAGAGACCGAUAGCAAACAAGUAGAGUGAUCGAAAGAUGAAAAGUACUUUGAAAAGAGAGUGAAACAGUACGUGAAAUUGUUGAAAGGGAAGCGUUUGGCAUCAGCCCAUGGCGGCGGUCGAACAUCUGGGCUUCUGCCCAGUGCACUCGGCAGUCGCCGGGCCAGCGUCGGUUCCACCUGCUGGAGAAAGGCCUUGGGGAAGUGGCACUCCCUUGUGGAGUGUGUUAUAACCCAUGGCGUCAUGCGGCUUGGUGGGGCCGAG